RNAcentral lists this ribosomal RNA (446 nucleotides) under uncultured bacterium. RNAcentral's name for it is "partial 16S ribosomal RNA". It matches the Rfam family "Bacterial small subunit ribosomal RNA", at positions 338 to 795 of the family's 1533-position model. The record is from RNAcentral.
CCUACGGGUGGCAGCAGUCGAGAAUCAUUCACAAUGGGGGAAACCCUGAUGGUGCGACGCCGCGUGGGGGAAUGAAGGUCUUCGGAUUGUAAACCCCUGUCAUGUGGGAGCAAAUUAAAAAGAUAGUACCACAAGAGGAAGAGACGGCUAACUCUGUGCCAGCAGCCGCGGUAAUACAGAGGUCUCAAGCGUUGUUCGGAAUCACUGGGCGGAAAGCGUGCGUAGGCUGUUUCGUAGGUCGUGUGUGAAAGGCGCGGGCUCAACCCGCGGACGGCACAUGAUACUGCGAGACUAGAGUAAUGGAGGGGGAACCGGAAUUCUCGGUGUAGCAGUGAAAUGCGUAGAUAUCGAGAGGAACACUCGUGGCGAAGGCGGGUUCCUGGACAUUAACUGACGCUGAGGCACGAAGGCCAGGGGAGCGAAAGGGAUUAGAUACCCCAGUAGUC